AACGAACGCUGGCGGCAGGCCUAACACAUGCAAGUCGAACGGGACCUUCGGGUCUAGUGGCGGACGGGUGAGUAACGCGUGGGAACGUGCCCUUUGGUUCGGAAUAGCCCCGGGAAACUGGGAGUGAUACCGGAUAAGCCCUACGGGGGAAAGAUUUAUCGCCAAAGGAUCGGCCCGCGUUGGAUUAGGUAGUUGGUGAGGUAAUGGCUCACCAAGCCGACGAUCCAUAGCUGGUUUGAGAGGAUGAUCAGCCACACUGGGACUGAGACACGGCCCAGAUCCCUCCGGGAGGCAGCAGGGGGGAAUCUUAGACAAGGGGGAAAACCCUGAUCGAGCCAUGCGGCGUGAUGGAUGAGGGCCUUAGGUUUGUAAAGAUCUUUCAGGGGGGAAGAUAAUGACUGUACCCACAGAAGAAGCCCCGGCUAACUCCGUGCCAGCCGCCGCAGUAA
RNAcentral lists this ribosomal RNA (449 nucleotides) under uncultured bacterium. Its description in RNAcentral is "partial 16S ribosomal RNA". It matches the Rfam family "Bacterial small subunit ribosomal RNA", at positions 29 to 523 of the family's 1533-position model. The record is from RNAcentral.